Molecule: long non-coding RNA, 422 nt
Organism: Ornithorhynchus anatinus (platypus)
Lineage: Eukaryota; Metazoa; Chordata; Mammalia; Monotremata; Ornithorhynchidae
Exons: 3
Source: RefSeq, a predicted model, not a curated record
AAGCCUCCGUCUCGAAUCAAAUCAAAUCUUCACGUACCAAACGGUCAAUGACUUCGGGAUAGCAAUAAGGUGAAAGUGAAUGGGCAGGCAGCGCUUUGGCGGCCGAGGCGUGGGAAGGGGCCGAUUUCAGGGCCGAGGCACCGAAGCCCCAGAUGAGGAGGCCAGAACCACCUCUCUUUCUCUCCAGCGAGGACCGACCCGUCUGAGGCUCUGCACUCGCCGCUCCCUCACGCUCCCCCGAGCUUCCCCCCGCCCCAAACCUCACAGACACACACACACACUCACUCACACACACACACACACACAGAGCCAUCCCUUCAUUGGGGAGAACAAAUAAAACCCCGCCCAAGAAGGACUCAAGCGCGCUUAUCAUGCAAGAUGCCCGGGCUCCCGGUGAUCCUCUCUCCUCUCCAGGCUGGACC